This 465-nucleotide ribosomal RNA is filed under the name Vreelandella stevensii. RNAcentral describes it as "partial 16S ribosomal RNA". It matches the Rfam family "Bacterial small subunit ribosomal RNA", at positions 338 to 795 of the family's 1533-position model. Lineage: Bacteria; Pseudomonadati; Pseudomonadota; Gammaproteobacteria; Oceanospirillales; Halomonadaceae. The record is from RNAcentral.
CCUACGGGAGGCUGCAGUGGGGAAUAUUGGACAAUGGGGGCAACCCUGAUCCAGUCAUGCCGCGUGUGUGAAGAAGGCCCUCGGGUUGUAAAGCACUUUCAGUGAGGAAGAACGCCUGGUGGUUAAUACCCAUCAGGAAAGACAUCACUCACAGAGGAAGCACCGGCUAACUCCGUGCCAGCAGCCGCGGUAAUACGGAGGGUGCGAGCGUUAAUCGGAAUUACUGGGCGUAAAGCGCGCGUAGGUGGCUUGAUAAGCCGGUUGUGAAAGCCCCGGGCUCAACCUGGGAACGGCAUCCGGAACUGUCAAGCUAGAGUGCAGGAGAGGAAGGUAGAAUUCCCGGUGUAGCGGUGAAAUGCGUAGAGAUCGGGAGGAAUACCAGUGGCGAAGGCGGCCUUCUGGACUGACACUGACACUGAGGUGCGAAAGCGUGGGUAGCAAACAGGAUUAGAUACCCCAGUAGUC